Long non-coding RNA from Ahaetulla prasina, 8011 nucleotides. RefSeq lists it as uncharacterized. The record is from RefSeq and is a predicted model, not a curated record. The transcript has 2 exons. NCBI's taxonomy places the organism in Eukaryota, Metazoa, Chordata, Lepidosauria, Squamata, Colubridae.
UUCAAAGGUUUCGGAUGAAAAUAAUUUUGUGUUAAUUAGAUGUCCAAGUCUUCGAAGUGACUUUGACAAAGCAGCCUCUCAUUCUUUUAUCUUUCUGUCUUACCAGUUGUUUCCAUUCUCUUGUCAUCACUGUUUUUAUUUCCCAGGACACUUUGGAGAUAUUAUGUCAGCACUUCUUGACCUCAGGAAGACAAGCUGGAAAAUCGUGAAUUAAGAAUGCUUUCCUACCAGGAUAGUUAUAGCUCCAAGCAAUUUUGUCAUUAUGCUCCUGAAAUCUGUCAGUGGUUGAGUACCUCGGAGUCACAAAGGUCCUGCUGUAUGUAUAUAAAGGUAAUCCUGGUGAAAUUCUGUCUGUAAAACUGAACAAUAAUAAUAACACAGAAUUGCUGCAGGUUUUUUUUCCCAUAUAGAAAGCAUUCUGUACUUUCAUAACAGUACAGAACUUCUUAGUGGGAUUUUUCUCUUUAAUAGUACUUUUUCUCUGGAUCUGUUGUAUAACACUAUAUAAUAACAUGGGAAUUUCAAACAGUGCUUCUAGUCCUUUCCUUUCCUUUCCUUUCCUUUCCUCAGGAGUAAAAAAAAACUGUUCAAAUUUCAAAUUAUCCUGUCUGGUAUUAUAUUUUUCAGAACGUUAAAAAAAAAUCAUAUGUUCUGCAUUAUGUGGCAUUUGUAAUAUUUGAAAUGUAUCAGUCAUGACAUUUGCAGUUUUUGUUUUCUUCUACUUAUUAUUUAGCUCAAUUUUAGGUAUCUAUCAAAAUAACCAAAAGAAUGUAUAAAAUGGUGCAUAAAUCCAGCAUCAGGAUAUAAUUCAACAUCAGUCCCAUUUUUUUAUCCUUCAAAAUUCAAUUAACUAGAACAUACUUAAGGCAUCCUACGAAAUGUCAGAAAAGUAGUGGCAAGCUGUACUGAAGCCAUCAAGGAGUCAGAAUGCCAUCACAAAAAGAUUUGAAGUCUUGUUGAAGUCCUUGUAAAAACAAGGAAUAAUCCCUUAACGGAAUACAUAUAAGACAUUAGGAAAUGAUCCAGUUUUCUAAACAUGGAUGAUUAGGUUUUAUGUUAACAGCUUUGCUUUCAGUUGAUGAUGGGGAAACCACCCCCUCAACUAGUCAAACGCCUUAAGUAUAAAUAGCAUCUGGCUAAGCUGGUUCAUGAAUUUAGCAUUCUGAUAUAGUUGAAUUUUCCAGAUAGUCCAUUAAUAUUUUCAAAAUCAGAUACAUUUAGAUCACAUUGCAGCAAUGAGACGUGGAGUUAUAAAAUUGUCUGCAUUAUUUCCUAAUCAGGAGUAGAGCUGGUUUAUAGAAAAAAAGAUUCUUUUUUUCUAUAGAAAGAAGAGCAAAAAUCUGACAACAGCAGAAUGUAUUCCGAAUUGGUUGACUGAGUUUACAAGCUUUUAACAGUAGUGGAAUUUAGGAAAGAAAUGGAUAAAAAGGUUAAGAACUUAUAAAAAUAAGAAACUAAAAUAUAAUUCCCAAUAGGAAAAUAAACCAAAGCAAGCAAACAUGUAGGUUGCCACAAAAAAAGUGCCCGUUAUGAAAUUAGUAAAAUGGUAGGAAUUCACUAUGUCAGUAGCAGCCAUGGGUGGGGUAAAUUUUAUUGUGGAAAGAGGAAAUAAUAAAUGUUCUACUAAAAUCAUCUAUCAUCCAUUUGCUUGGUUUUUUUAAAUAGCGACCCAGAUUUAGAUUGUGCCUAGGUGUAUUUGGUGGAAUUUGGCUUGUUUUCUGUCUUUUACACAUGUGAAAGUAGGUUUUGUGACAAAAGAGAAAUAAUUUCUCAAGGUAUCAUAGAUGAAUAUAUCUAAACUGAAGGCAGAAUGCUCAGAUAUUGUUAGCUCAGAAGGCAAUACAAUAAUCAUUAAAUAAGUUAUCCAUUUGAGUUGCAGCUUUAAAAAAUUGUCAUCUUAAUUUUCAUUUUUUUGGUUAAACUAUUUUCCUAUAAUCCAUAAUUUUCUACCUUAUAAAGGUACUUCCAUGAUACUUGCAGCAGUUUCCAUACAUUAUGUGAGUCUUUUACACUUAAUUACAUUUCAUAUUUAUUCCAUCGCUAAUGAAAAACUAAAACAGUUACUCUUAAUGUUGAUGAUUUUCAAAUGUUGGGAUUAUAGUCAUAGUCAUAUCACACUCGCAACGUAUUUUCAUCUUCAUAAAAUGAAGCACAUGUGUUAGUACCUUCAUCUAUUAUAAUCAAUAUUUUGCUUCCAAACACACGUUUCGACAUUCAGUUCCCAGAUGUUGGUAGUACAAAACUGAUCACUCUGAAUUCCAGACUCUAACAAGUGUCAGUUGAAGGAGGAUUUAGUUAAAGUAUGCAGUGUGCUAACGGAGCUGGUAGUAAUAAUGUAUGAAGUAUAAUAUAUACACACUGCGUGGUUUCCAGCUGUUUGUCUUCAGAGGCACUCUGUGUGCAAUGAAAGGGGGGAAAGAGUGUUUGGAUAACAUAGCUAAAACUGAAAGAAACCACUAGUCACUCUUCUGGAAUUAGUGUGGAGAAAUCACUUAAAUGCAAUCUGUCCUGAGUUCUGAAAACAUAAACUAAGACGCUGAGAUUGAAGUUGAAAAAUAACAAAAUACUGUAUUUCCUUGCUCUGUGCUGAAAAAAACAAAACUUUCCCUAGCUGAUAUGAAAAAAUGGCCAAACAUUUUUUUGCAAUGACAAUGGCUUAUUCCUAAAGUGAUCAACAGCUAUGCCAAUAAUGUUCUAUUAGAAAAAGAAUUAAAAAGGAGGCUUCUAAUGUUGAUUUCAAAGAUAAUUAUUUAUAUUAUUAUUUUUUGUACAGAACAGUAUUAUAUAAUAUAUGCAGGGGUUUUUUGGGGUGCAUAAUUAUAAUUAUAUCUAUAUAUGAUUUCUUUACCAAGGUCUUUUUUCAAUCUGCUACCUGAAUUGAGAUAGCAAAAAUUGAUUAUGAGAUAUCUAUUGGCCACCUCUACUGCCAAUAGCAACCAGAAAUAGGUGACUUAUUUCCCCCACUCCCCGGCCUUGUCAUCUGGUCUGGAUGCAGUAUACGUGUUUUAGGGUGCCCAUGUAUAAUUCUAUAUUGUUGGGUUUUUUAAAAAAAGAUUUUCAAAGUUGAAAACUCUUAUUAGAGAAAGAGAGAUUCAGGUGGCAACAUUAUGGAUGGAGAAAUGAGAAAUGAGCUGACAUUUACAAUUACAGUAAAAUACAGCAUCUCUUUAAUCUCAAUUCAUUAAAACAGCUGUGUUUUGAUUUUCAGGCUUAAAGAGAAGCUUAAAAAGAUUAUGAUGAUGAUGAUGAUGAUGAUCGUGAUAAUUACAAUAAUCAUUGUGAUCAUGAUGAUGAUGCUUUAAAAAAAAAUCCUGGGGUCACAUUCCCACAUUUUCCAAAUCCCUUACAAAUCAUUUUCAAAGUGUACCCAGCCCAAACUGCCUAUUGACCCUGGAAGGGAAGGAGGCAUAUAAUAUAAACCGGGUUGUUGUCUUUUCCGUGGUGUGAAGGAAAUCUAUGUAUACUCAGUAAGUGUGUCAAACUGGCGGCCUGCAGACCGGAUGCAUCAUAUGCAGGCCACGCCCACCCCAGUGCCGCGAAGGGGAAAAAUGUCACGAUACGUCAGGCGAUGGCAAUGUGAUGCUAAGAGUUUGACACCUGUGAUGUAUAGGGACAAUAAAGGAAAUUAUUUGUGUUAGAAAGCACUAGAAUCAAUAGAAAGGGCUAGAAGCCUCCUUGGAAGAACCAAAAUGUAGUGAUAGUGCUGGGUCAUCUCACAGUAAGGUGAACCCAUGCUGUUAUCAGAGUCCACAUUCCUUCUCUAAAGGAGAAUUAUAACUUGCACUCUUUUGCAAUUCCUAGGUAUCAUUUCAGAAGGGAUAUAACUUGUAGCCUGAGGAAUCCAGUGAUCGCUAUAGAAUGCCAAUAAAAUUUACUUAGUUUCAUAUAUCCCCAAAUGUGUUAAGUGGGCAUUUUCCCCACAACGGUUCACUCAACAAAAAUCUGUUAGGCUGGUACAUAGACACCACAUUUUAAAUGCCUCUAGAAACAGUAAAUGCAGCUGGUACAUAAAUACCACAUUUUAAAUGCCUCUAGAAAUUGUAAAUGCAGUGUAUGAAGAGAAAUUGGCUUGGCUGCUGCCAUAGAUGGGAAAGGACACCCUGAAGGCAUAAGAAGCUGACCUUGUAUGAUGUCUGAAACAGUAGCUUGAAUUUUGAAUACAAAGAAAUAACAGAUCAGCUGUGGCCAGAUAAAUAUCUAAGUAGAAUGCAAACAAAUGCUGACAUGACUUUUGGACAAAGCAAAAUGUUUGUCUUUCAAGACAAGAAGUUUACAUUCUGGAAUGUGGUUUAAAUUGUCCUUGUUUCUCUUCUGAGAAUUCAUCAGUAAAAAUAUAGUAAUAUAAGUGAAAAAAAUUAAAUUCAAAUUUAAAUAUGAAACAACUUUUUGUGCAUUAAGACAUAACUGCAUUAAACAAUUUAUUCAAAACAAGUGAAAUUAAAUUCCAUGAGUCUUUCUUUCAGAUAGAUAUACUACACUUUUAUAACCAAUUAAUUCACUCCUAUAUAUAUAUAUAUAUGAUAAAUUUUAAAAUAUAAAUAUGAAUUUGAUUCUGAAGUCUGAAAAGUAAAUGCUAAAUUUCAGUGUUGGCAAAAAAAAAAAAAAAAAUUAGACUCCCCACCUACCCAAACAGAAAAUCUUUUAAAAUUUCAUCUUUUUGGGGGGAGCGGGUAAUAGCUAUAAACCCAAAUAAGAGUGAAAUGGAAAUUAGCUACAAAUGCCUGGAAUCCAUUUUAUGAUUUUCCUAACUGUGUGGGACAAAUAAUGUGCUGGGACAGCUUGCCAAACUUAUAGCUCUUCAUUUUUAGGCUACACUGAAUUCAAAAUGGGAGGCUGCAAGAUCUGGAACAGCCAUAAUGACAUCAUUCUGUAACAAUAAUUUGAAAUUAUGUUUACCGAAGGAACUAAAUAAUGAAGCAAUGAAUUUUGUCUCUCUUUUCCCUCUUUUGUAAACGAUGAAGCUAACUAGGCUUUUGUUGAUUUGACAAGAGGACAUUUAUUUACUCUUUGUCUUAGAAAAAUUCUCAAGUUUUAUCUAAACUUGAAUCUUGACUGAGAGAGAAAGAAUGAUGCAUCAAAACAGGGUCAGCAAAUGUAUGAACAAUGGAGUAAAAACAGCUGUUCAGAAGGAAGCUCUAUAUGAACUUUUCUUGCUGGGGGAGUCAAUUUAGGACCUGUGAUUCAAGAAUUGGCUAUACCUGUCUAAGAAAAAUGGUUAAUGCAGUGGGAAAGAGUGUUUAAUUGAGUUGAAAAUUGGUGGAUUAAACAUAGGUCCAUCAACUGAAGAAAAGGUGAAUGUCUUAAGAGAUAUUUAGCUCACCUACUUAUAGAACAAUGACUGUAUAUUCCAUUUAACUGAUAAUGUCUUUGCUUACUUUUCUUUGUUCCUCAUUUACAGUGACAUCUUUUGAAAUAUCAUUAGCAAUCAGCAAAAAAAUGCUGCCAAGACCUUGCUCCUGUUCCUUGGUAUAUAUAAUGUGAGGUACAUUUCAGAUGUAGACAAAUAUAUAAAUUAGGUUUGGAAUUAUUUUUAAUUCCUGAAAUAUGCAAUGUUUUGGUUAAUGAGUUAAUAAUGUUUGUUCCUUUGUUGCUUCUUCCACAGCAGUAACAGCUAUGUUCUUUAAUUACUUCUUUUUCUUUGUUUCUUUUCUUUUUUCUUUUUUUACAAAAAAGGUAUUAUAAUGUUCUCCCUUGGUUUCCAGUAUGGAUAUAAUAUUUUCACACACAUUUCUAAUCAGCAGGAGUUCUUUUAGCAUACUGAAAACAUUCACUUGCUUUGGAUUUAAAAUGUCAUGUUCUCCACAUGAUCACUGUUUUUAAUGUUUUACUGUAUAUACCCUAAUAAUUUUUCAUUACUUAUACAUACAAAAUCACUUUAAAUCAUAUAAUAGACAGACUAAUAUCGUACUAUAUGCCACUGGGAGAUACCUGAUGUGCAAGGCAAUAUAUAUAAAAUAAAGUAGUACGCAUUCUUGCAGAGAACAGAAACAACAAAAAGAACAAAAACAUGUUUCUGAGCUCUUUACUGGUUUAGUACAGUCUCCUUAAUUCCGUUCAAUUCUUGAAUUGGCAACCAUUUUGAGUUGGCAUCAGUUGUGGGUUGCUCCCGGUUCGCUCCGGUUCUGUAGAGCUGGUAGUAAAAAUCUGCUGGUGUUCGGCGAAUCGGUAAUAAUGGCUGGCUGGCCAUGCCCCCGAACCGGUUCCCUAAUCAUCAGCGUUUUUUUUUCUUUUAAAAGAAUCUUUUCUUCAGCCAAAAAAAGGCUUUUAAAAGUAAAAAAAAAACCCUCUGAUGAUCACGUGGCUGAGGUUAAGAGGUUUUUAAAAAGGUUUUAAAACCUUUUAAGUUGUUAGGCAACUUCAGCUGGAUCGUCAGAGGAGCCUUUUAAUUUUUUUUUUUUUUGCUCUGGCCCACCCAAUCCCCCCUCCUCACUUACCUCAUUACAGCUUCUUUCGGGCUGGCAAAGCCAUGCUUUACAUCAGUUGCAUCAGCUAGCAACUGAAUCUGCCUGCCUGGAAUCCAUCUCCUCAGUCAGCAACUGCUUUGCUGGCUGAGGAACUCUGGGAAUUGAAGUCCACAAACCUUAAAGUUACUAAGGUUGGAGACUCCUGAUCUAAAAAAUAUAAAUAAAAUAAAAUAAUAAAAUAAAAUAUUUGUGCAGCUUUCUGAGAUUUGGUGUGUUUCUGUAGUGUUUCACUCUAACUACACAAACACACAAAAUCUCACAAAGCUGUAUGUGGCAUUUUGUGUGUGUGUGAGAGAGAGAGUCAGUUGUGUUGUCUUGUGUGUGUGUGUAAAAUGUGAACGUUGGUUUUUGAGCUUUUUGUGGAUGUGUGAGGUUCUUGCUUGUUGCAGGGGCCAUUUUGGGUGAAGUGCAGCUGUGUUUAAAUUGUGUGUGAGUCUGUUGUGUUAUAUUGUGUGUGUGUGUGUAUGUCCCUUCACGAGGACUUGGAGGUAGCUCCUCUGAGGAAAAGAAGAGGCGGUGAAGCUCUGGCUGUCCCUGGAAGAAAUCGCUGUCUCUGCAGCAUUGGUCAUGUGACUGAGUUGGCAUCGCCAACUUGAUAUCACUCACAGCAAGGUGCCGCCCCACCUUGCCCUGAGUGACUUCAAGUUGGCCACGCCCACUCAGUCACAUGACCACCAAGCCAUGACCACCAAAUAAGCAACACCCACCCUGGUUGGCAUGUCUGGGCUAAAUCUUCUCCACUUCACUAUUUUGGAGUGUUCUGCAACAAUUCCCAUGUUCAAAAAAAAAAAAAGAGUAUUUCAAAGAGCUUGAUGAGUGCUUGUUGAGGAUUUAGCAUUUAUCUUCAUUUGUAUGCCAUACUAUUAUAAUAAAUAAUGGUCAGAAAUCUGUUAUGAAAGUAACUCUAAACUAUCAGAUAAAUACUGUUUAGUUCUCUAAACAAUAAUACGAACAAGAACAUGUGUCUGAAAUAAGUGGUGUUUAAAUACUUUUUCUUCCACAAAGCCCUAUCAGUAUGAAAUAUGUCAUCAGUCAUUUAUAGUAAUAGCAGAUUUAUCAUUAAACUUGUUCCUUUUCACGUUGUAGAUUUAUAUUAAAAGUUCACUGAGACUUGGCUUGAAAAUAGAGAUAACAUUUGCAAAUCAUGUUCAGCUGUUAAUUUACUACUGAGAUUUUUGUAUUCACAAACUUAAUAACAGCUGGACCUUGGCAACUAGUGAGCCUCAACCAAAUGCCCUGGAAAUUAAUGGAUUCUUUCUUUGAUUUCACAAAUCAAGGUUUCUGCGGAUGUUCAAACCAAUGUCGUUGAUUCAUUUCAUGGGAGACUGUAGAAAUUGUAUGAAAAUAAAGUGGAAAUUUUAUGAUUCGGCUUGUCACCAGGACUUCAGAGUAACCCCAUUUUUCAAAUCCAUAUUGAACAGCAAGUGUGGGAGUGCUGUUGCUGUGAAUUUCCUGUUGAAAAGUGUCAUGAGUGGGAAUGAUGUACUUUGUAAGAUCUUUUCAUGAUUUUGCCGCAUAGUCUGUGUGAUUAUAAAAAAAAGAAAACA